GAAAAGGGCUUUCGCCAUGUUGCCCAGACUAUCUAUGGCUUCCUUCAAGAGCCUUUAUCCAUGACUCUGCCUUAGUGACAGAGUUGAGUAGUUGUUACAGAGGCCGUGUUGCCCAGAAAACCUAAAAUACAUACUAUAGCUCUUUACAGACAAAAUUUGCUGACCCCUGCUUUAGAUUGGGGAGAUCUUAGCCUCCUGAGAGACUGGACUUCCCCCAAGGGUGUGAUGUCCUCUUUCAAAUACCCAAAGCUCUUACAGUAUUCUGGCUGAGCCUCACCCCUCCACUAGACUUCUUUAGGCGUUCCACAUGAUAACGACAGAAAAAUUCAAUACACACAAACAAAAGUGUUUUUAAUAAUCGUAAAUCCAGCCAGGUGUGGUGGCUCACACCUGUGAUUCCCAAUGCUUUGGGAGGCUAAGGCAGGAGGAUAGCUUGAGGCCAGGAGUUAGAAACCAGCCUGGUCAACAUAGCAAGAUUCGUUAUGAAAGAAAGAUAAAAUAACUUACUGGGUAUGGUGGUGUAUGCUUGUAGUUCCAGCACUUUGGGAGGCUGAGGUGAAUUGCUUGAGCCCAUGAAUUUGAGGCUGCAGUGAGCUAUGACUGCACCAUGGCACGCCAGCCUGGGUGACAGAGUAAGACCCUGUCUCAAAAAAAAACAAAAAAAAAUUCCUAAAUCCCACUAUUCUGAUGUACAACAAUGUUGACAUUUCCAACAAAAACAGGAAUUCAUGGUCAAAAUUAAAAUGGAAUCAGAUCAUGCAUCCUAUUUAGAAACUUGUUUUUUGUUGUUAUUGUUUCAUUUCAAACUAUGUCAUGACCAUCUUUCAGGACAAUAGCUAUAUACCCUAUACAGCAGUUUCUACAGCUUUCAUCGUAUUCCAUUAUAUAAAUAUUAGAUAACCCAUCCCCCACUACUGGAUCUUUAAUGGUCAACCUGUCAAUUAGUGAGCCUUAAAACCAACAUUGCAAUGAACAUCCACAUACAAUUAUUUUCCCAAGUGAAAUUUUGCCUAGAAGUGGGCUAUUUGGUUCCAAGGGUGCACGUUUCUUCUGGAGCUUUGGAUAUAUGCAGAAUCACACGUAAGGAAAACACCUCCCAUGGUGACUCAAUUCAAAGCUUUGGAGGUCAGGGUUCUUACUCCCUCCCCUGGGGCAGACCCAAUAAAGAUGUCUAAUGAGCAAUAAACCAGGCCUUGCCCUCACUUGGAGUUUUACUGGCCCUGCUUUAUGGCAGGAUCAUCAUAAGCUUGACUAGAAGGUUUCCAAGGGCAACUGGAACAGUUGACAGAGACAAGUGAGUCUGGAACCAGCCCAGAGGCUGUGUGUGUCCAGCCUGGUGUAGGAAGAGGGGGCAGGAAGGAAGACCCAGCCCUGGAACUGGUGUUCACUGCAGAGGAAACUCAACCCCAAAGCUCAAUUCAACAUAAAACACAGCAGCACAAUGCUUGACUCAGAAAAAUCUAAGCAUAACACGCUCUCUCCUUAGGGAGACUGAGAUGUGCAUAUUGCAUUGCAGGAAAUAUAAAGAAAUAAUUCCCUCCAAGUACAAAUAGAUUUCUGAAAGAAUAAGCUUACACUGGCUGGCAAAGCUCCAAAUCCUGGGAAGGUCUGUCUGAUCACUCCCCAGCACUAAAAUCAUCAAUAGCUCCCACUGUCCCUUGCCUUGGGCAAGGUAUUCAAGCCUUCCAAAACACCCCCCAAAAAACAAUCAACCUAGUCAAUACAGCAGACCCUGACCAUAGUCUUCACAAUCUCAAAUAAAUACAAUGACUUGAGUGUCUUUUUCAUGCUAUUCCUUCUUCAUAGACAGCCCUUUACCCCCAGCACAAUGUCCAUUUGCCUGAUUCCCACCCAUCCUUUUAGAGCCGUUUAAAUAAGGCCUCUUCCAGGAAGCCUAUGCUGAUUUCCUGGGCCAAAAUGACUUCCAACCCUCCAGGGCAAUUGACUUGAUUCAAUGCCUUGCAUAGGAGAAAAGCCUGAGACUCUCCCCCUCACACAAUUUACAUCACUCAUCCAACCCCAUCCCACUCUACCCAGAGGAUACACCCCUUCACUCUCAGUUCCCCUUCCUAGAACCUAGUCAGUGCCUGGCACAGGAUAGACUGAGUGGGGCAGGGCUGAGAUCCUGAGAGGUGGGAGGUAGCCACCUGGGACACAAGAAGACUUUAGGAGGCUCUGGUAUCCAGGCACAGCACUAAAGCGCAUGGUUUCCUUUCUAAUCCUCAUGGGAGCUUUCAGAAGUUGCUAGACAGUCUCUGCUGGGUGCCACUAUGACUUUAACACCUACAUCUCCAUCAUCUGCUCAUCUCCCAGUUUAACAGAGGAAUCGAUCCUCAUGAUCAGACCGUUAGCUGUUGUAGUAGCAGCUGAUUGUUUUUAUUGUAUUUAAUUUUUACUGUUAUUUUUCUACUUAAAGCGAGCAACACUGGUUUUGUUUACAAAAGAGUUUUUGCAAGGUUCCUUUCAAAACAAACAUAUUUAACUUUUGAGAAGGGGAAAAGUGGCCGGGCAUGAUGGCUUACACCUGUAAUCUCAACACUUUGGGAGUCUCAGGCAGGUGGAUUACCUGAGGUCAGGGGUUCGAGACCAGCCUGGCCAACAUGGUAAAACCCUUUCUCUACUAAAAAUACAAAAAUUAGCUGGGCGUGGUGACGCAUGCCUGUAGUCUCAGCUACUCGGGAGGGUGAAGCAGGAGAAUCGCUUGAACUGGGGAGGCAGAGGUUGCAGUGAGCCAAGAUCAUGCCACAGCACUCCAGCCUGGGUGACAGAGAGACUCCGUCUCCAGAAAAAAAAAAAAAAAGAAGAAGAAAGGAAAGGGGAAAUUUUAAAAAUAAAACAAUAGUACAAGGGUUACGUGGAUACAGUAAUAACUCUUGGGGUUUUAAUGUGUUUAAUCUGAACAGGGAAAAUCACCAGUAAAGUGGAAAGAACAUGAUAUUGGCGUCAACAGUGCAGAUGCAAGCUCUCUGGCAGCUUCCCUCCUUAAAACUUACCAGUAAGCCAGAGACUUGCUUUCUCAGCUUCCUUUGCAGCUAAAAGUGGCCAUGUGACCCAAUUCUGAUUUAAAAAAUAUUUAAGAACUUAAGGGGAAAUGGGAAAGACUUCUAGGGAGGCUUUUACUUUGCUAAUAAAACAGUUAGACGUGAGCCAGGUGCAGUGGCCCACGCCUGUAAUCCCAGCACUUUGGGAGGCCAAGGUGGUCAGAUCACUUGAAGUCAGCAGUUCAAGAACAGCCUGGCCAACAUGGUGAAACCCUGUCUCUACUAAAAAUACAAAAUUAGCCAGGCAUGGUGGCAGACACCUGUAAUCCCAGCUACUCAGGAGGCUGAGGCAGGAGAAUUGCUUGAACCCAGGAGGUGGAGGUCGCAGUGAUCCAAGAUCGCACCACUGCACUCCAGCCUGGGCGACAGAGCAAAACUCCAACUCCAAAAAAAAAAAAAAAAAGAAAAGAAAAGAAAGAAAGAAAAAGAAAUAACAACAACAACAAACCAGGCAGGCCAGGCUCAGUGGCUCAUGCCUAUAAUCCCAGCAAUUUGGGAGGCUGAGGUGGACGGAUCACCUGAAGUCAGGGUUUCAAGACCAACCUGGUCAACGUGGUGAAACCCCAUCUCUGCUAAAAAUACAAAGAUUAGGCCAGGCACGGUGGCUCACAUGCCUGUAAUCCCAGCACUUUGGGAGGCCAAGGUGGAUGGAUCACCUGUGGUCAGGAGUUCGAAACCAGCCUGGCCAACAUAGUGAAACCCCAUCUCUACAAAAAAACACAAAAAUCAGGUGGGCGUGGUGGUGCUUGCCUGUAAUCCCAGCUACUUGGGAGGUUGAGGCAGAAGAAUCACUUGAACUCAGGAAGGAGGCGGACGUCUCAGUGAGUCGAGAUCGUGCCACUGCACUCCCAGUCUAGGCGACAGAGUGAGACUUCGUCUCAAAAAAAAAAAAAAAAGAUUAGCAAGGCAUGGUGGCAGGUGCCUAUAAUCCCAACUACUCAGGAGGCUGAGGCAUGAGAAUCACUUGAACCCAGGAGGUGAAGGCUGCAGUGGGCCGAGAUCACGCCACUGCACUCCAGUCUGGGCAACAGAGUGGAACUCUGUCUCAAAAAAAAUCCAGGCAGAUGCAGCUUGUGGUGCUGCCUCUCCUUCCUACCUGGAUCAAGAAUAUGAUGUCUGCAGUCAUGGCAACCGUAUUGGGACCAAGAAACCACAAGCCAAUUUAAGGAUAGUGACAUGGAAAAUAACUUGAUAUAUAGUUAAGCCACUGCCCUAACUCUGAGCUACUCCCCUCUUGAUUUUUUAUGUGAAAAAUAAUAAAAUAUACCCAUUUAAGCCAUUGUUGGUUUGGGUUUCUAUUACAUGCAGGCAAAAAUAUUCUUAAUGAACACGGAGUUUGGCACAAAUGGAUUCAGUGGACAAAUGUCUUCUAAGUGCACACAGUGGCUGUGGUUCCUUUAACGGAGCCACUUCACCUCUCAAAGAUCAGUUUCUUUACGAGUAAGGUCAAUGAUACUUACUUCAAAUCUGAGGAUUAAAAGAAAUAGUGCAUGUAAAACACCUACCAGCAGACUCCGCACAUAGUAGGUCUCUACAAAUGCACAAUAAAUGUGCAAAUAGAGGCCAGGCGCAGUGGGUGAUGCCUGUAAUCCCAGCACUUUGGGAGGCUGAGGCGGGCAGAUCACAAGGUCAGGAGUUCAAGACCAGCCUGGCCAACAUAGCGAAACCCCCAUCUCUACUAAAAAUACAAAAAAUUAGCCGGGCGUGGUGGCGGGCACCUGUAAUCCCAGCUACUCGGGAGUCUGAGGGAGGAGAAUCGCUUGAACCCAGGAGGCAGAAGUUGCAGUGAGCCGAGAUCGCGCCAUUGCACUCCAGCCUAAGCGACAAUGCAAGACUCUGUCUCAAAAAAAGAAAAAAAAAGUGCAAAUAUAAUAUAAAGACUCACAGAUGUAUUUGUGAGUUGAUGGGGUUGCAGGCGGGCAGGGAGAGGGGAACUGCCUAAAUGUUUAAGAUCCAAAGCAAUAGCUCUCUAACAGAACAAUCUGGGGAGGCAGUAAUUCAAGGGAGUCUACCUUUAUCCACUGUCGAAUCAUGUCCUGUUUCACAGGUGGAGAGAGAGGGAUGAGGGACAAAUGGGUAAGCAGAUACUGUUCACAAGUCUGGCCUGUGUUCCACACCAGUCUGUCACUUGUACAGGUCUUGAUUAAAAGUAGGGAAGGGGCCAGGCAUGGUGGCUCACGCCUGUAAUCCCAGCACUUUGGGAGGCCCUGAGGAGGGCGGAUCACAAGGUCAGGAGAUCGAGACAAUCCUGGCUAACACAGUGAAACCCCGUCUCUACUAAAAAUACAAAAAAUUUAGCUGGGCCUGGUGGCAUGCGCCUGUAGUCCCAGCUACCCAGGAGGCUGAGGCAGGAAAAUC
This 5399-nucleotide non-coding RNA is filed under the name Pan troglodytes (chimpanzee). Lineage: Eukaryota; Metazoa; Chordata; Mammalia; Primates; Hominidae. The record is from RNAcentral.